GUAGUCCACGCCGUAAACGAUGGGAACUAGGUGUGGGAGGUGUCGACUCCUCCCGUGCCGUCGCUAACGCAUUAAGUUCCCCGCCUGGGGAGUACGGCCGCAAGGCUAAAACUCAAAGGAAUUGACGGGGCCCGCACAAGCAGCGGAGCAUGUGGUUUAAUUCGAUGCAACGCGAAGAACCUUACCUGGGCUUGACAUGUAACUGACCGCCCUGGAAACAGGGGUUUUCCUUCGGGACAGUUUCACAGGUGGUGCAUGGCUGUCGUCAGCUCGUGUCGUGAGAUGUUGGGUUAAG
This 295-nucleotide ribosomal RNA is filed under the name uncultured bacterium. RNAcentral describes it as "partial 16S ribosomal RNA". It matches the Rfam family "Bacterial small subunit ribosomal RNA", at positions 790 to 1084 of the family's 1533-position model. The record is from RNAcentral.